UGGGGAAUAUUGGACAAUGGGCGCAAGCCUGAUCCAGCAAUGCCGCGUGGGUGAAGAAGGUCUUCGGAUCGUAAAGCCCUUUCGACAGGGACGAUGAUGACGGUACCUGUAGAAGAAGCCCCGGCUAACUUCGUGCCAGCAGCCGCGGUAAUACGAAGGGGGCUAGCGUUGCUCGGAAUUACUGGGCGUAAAGGGCGCGUAGGCGGCCCGGUUAGUGAGGCGUGAAAUUCCCGGGCUUAACCUGGGGACUGCGCUUCAUACUGCUGGGCUUGAGGAUGGAAGAGGGUCGUGGAAUUCCCAGUGUAGAGGUGAAAUUCGUAGAUAUUGGGAAGAACACCGGUGGCGAAGGCGGCGACCUGGUCCAUUACUGACGCUGAGGCGCGACAGCGUGGGGAGCAAACAG
Molecule: ribosomal RNA, 403 nt
Filed under: uncultured bacterium
Lineage: Bacteria
Description: bacterial SSU rRNA
Rfam family: Bacterial small subunit ribosomal RNA
Source: RNAcentral